UUCAUAAUAGAUUAUUUAGGUUUUUCGAUGAAAUACCGAAAAUUAAAAGGGAAUCUGGUGAAAAUCCAGAACGGUCCGGCCACUGUAAGUGGGGAGUGAUCCUUCAACAUGCCACUGUUCAAUACUAGCUCAAGUAUAGGAUGGGAAGGUGAAGGCAAGCUAUGAUCCAUAAGUCAGGAGACCUGCCUAGAUAACUUUACAUUG
This 204-nucleotide non-coding RNA is filed under the name Paramaledivibacter caminithermalis. RNAcentral also lists the same sequence under 1 other name. Lineage: Bacteria; Bacillati; Bacillota; Clostridia; Peptostreptococcales; Caminicellaceae. The record is from RNAcentral.